Molecule: long non-coding RNA, 832 nt
Organism: Xiphophorus hellerii (green swordtail)
Lineage: Eukaryota; Metazoa; Chordata; Actinopteri; Cyprinodontiformes; Poeciliidae
Exons: 2
Source: RefSeq, a predicted model, not a curated record
CAUUUGUUUUACGUACUUUGUUUUUUUUAGUAGUAAAAAUGCGGUGGUGACACACCCACUCAAAAUCUUAUGUAUUGGUGCCUAAAAAUGGUCUUAAAGAUCAAAAGAUCAUUCUCUUUUUGUUAAUUUUGUGGCCGAAUAGAAGAUAUAUCCUCAAAGUAUUAAUUACUUUUCAUUGAUUUUGUUUACGGCCUAUAGAACUUUGGAAUUGGUUCAUUUAUUUGGAGUUGCGCAGCAAAACAAAAAAACAAUUAAUUGGUUAUUGAAACAAUACUUAAGUCAAUUAAGUGUAAUGGACUUUAAUGUCAAUUAAACUUGGAUAUAACUUGAACAUGCACUUUAAUUUGAUCUGUAACUUUAAUUUGAUCUGUAAUUUGAAAAAUGCUUUAUGGAAUAUGGAACCUAUUUCUUUGAUGAAUGUUUAGUUGUUUUGGAUAGUACUUUAACCCUAUUUAAAUGUGAAUGCUAAUUUUUGUUUUUAUUUAUGACCUUGUUUAGGUCAGGUUUCUUUUUCCACCCCCUGUUUCAACCCAGGAUGGCGAGCUACUGGAUCACCGCAGCUUUGCGGUAGGACUUCAUUGAACCAAACUACAUUUCUUUUCCGGACGUAUUGCCCUGGGAUCAUGGACUAAAAACAUUUGGAUUAUUGAUUCAUGGAGGAUUAAUCAUCCUGCAUACAAAAGAACUGACUUGAAUAAGCGGAAAAAAAACUCUUGGGUGUCAUCUGGGUUUAUUUUUGUUGUUGUUGUUGUUUUCCUGUUGUGUUUAGGAAAAUAUUAUUAUUGAAUACUUUUCUAAAUAUAUAAAUUUGAAUACAAUAACUUGAACUUAC